UGGGGAAUCUUGCGCAAUGGGCGAAAGCCUGACGCAGCGACGCCGCGUGAGUGAUGAAGGCCUUCGGGUUGUAAAGCUCUGUGGAGAGGGACGAAUAAGUAGAAGCGAAUACCUUCUAUGAUGACGGUACCUCCUUAGCAAGCACCGGCUAACUCUGUGCCAGCAGCCGCGGUAAGACAGAGGGUGCAAACGUUGUUCGGAAUUACUGGGCGUAAAGCGUGUGUAGGCGGCUAAGUAAGUCAGAUGUGAAAGCCCCGGGCUCAACCCGGGAAGUGCAUUUGAUACUGCUUAGCUUGAGUAUCGGAGAGGUUGGUGGAAUUCUUGGUGUAGAGGUGAAAUUCGUAGAUAUCAAGAGGAACACCGGUGGCGAAGGCGGCCAACUGGACGAAUACUGACGCUGAGACACGAAAGCGUGGGGAGCAAACAGG
Molecule: ribosomal RNA, 428 nt
Filed under: uncultured bacterium
Lineage: Bacteria
Description: bacterial SSU rRNA
Rfam family: Bacterial small subunit ribosomal RNA
Source: RNAcentral